Molecule: ribosomal RNA, 301 nt
Filed under: uncultured bacterium
Lineage: Bacteria
Description: partial 16S ribosomal RNA
Rfam family: Bacterial small subunit ribosomal RNA
Source: RNAcentral
CAGUCGCCGCGGUAAUACGGAGGGUGCAAGCGUUAAUCGGAAUUACUGGGCGUAAAGCGCACGCAGGCGGUCUGACAAGUCAGAUGUGAAAUCCCCGGGCUUAACCUGGGAACUGCAUUUGAAACUGUCAGGCUGGAGUCUUGUAGAGGGGGGUGGAAUUCCAGGUGUAGCGGUGAAAUGCGUAGAGAUCUGGAGGAAUACCGGUGGCGAAGGCGGCCCCCUGGACAAAGACUGACGCUCAGGUGCGAAAGCGUGGGGAGCAAACAGGAUUAGAUACCCUGUAGUCCCUGUCUCUUAUACA